This 88-nucleotide microRNA precursor is filed under the name Microcebus murinus (gray mouse lemur). Its description in RNAcentral is "miRNA (ENSMICG00000041590.1)". Lineage: Eukaryota; Metazoa; Chordata; Mammalia; Primates; Cheirogaleidae. The record is from RNAcentral.
GGAGGAUAGCUUGAGUUCAGGAGUUGGAAGCUGCAGUGAGCUAUGAUUGUGCCACUACACUCCAGCCUGAGUGACAGAGCAAGACCUU